Molecule: ribosomal RNA, 840 nt
Filed under: Triticum aestivum (bread wheat)
Lineage: Eukaryota; Viridiplantae; Streptophyta; Magnoliopsida; Poales; Poaceae
Description: partial small subunit ribosomal RNA
Source: RNAcentral
AUGGGCUGCUGCGUCAGCAAGAAGUGCGGCGAGCCGCCGGGCGCGGCCGAUGGGAGGAAGGCCGUGGAGGCCCGCGACCUGCCGCCGCCCGAGGAGGAGAAGGUCAAGGAGGUGCUCUCGGAGACGCCGCGCGUCAAGCCGCGGUCCAGGGCCAGGCGCGUCGCUGGCGGCACGGUGGUGGCGCCGUCGGCGGAGAAGGCCAGGGCCAAGGACGGCCAUGGCGUCGGCGGCAGGGUCAGCAGGCCCGCGCGCUCCGUCGAGGAGAAGUCGGAGGCGGCGUCCGAGUCGUCGGCCGCGACCACGGUGGCCGGGCCCGAGCGGUCCCCGUCCAAGCCGCCCAGGUGCCGGCAGGGAAGGGCCGCGCCCGGUGGCGAGCUCAGGCGCGCCAGGCGGGACCGAGACCACGGCGCGGCCACCCCCGGCGGGCGCGGGCGCGCGUCCCAGUCGCCCCCGCCUCCGCGGCGCGACCCCGGGCGGAGGUCGCCGUCGCCGGCCGCGAAGCGGGCGCAGGACCAGCGCCGCGACACCGCCGGCUCGGCCUCGUGCGCGCAGAGAAAGCCGCCCGUGCCCGCGAGGCCAUGCGGCCGCACGCCGACGCCGCCCCGUGGGCAGGAGGUGCCUCCCCAGCCAUCGCCGGCGCCACCGGCGGCGGCGAAGCCACUCCCGCACGGUCCUCCUACGCAAUGUGCGUCCCCACCGACGCCACAGGUACCGGAGCAGGAGGAUACGGAUACUCCCCCGGGCAGCGACGGCGACGCUGCGGCCGGUGGCGGCGAGGGCGAGGGGAAGGAGUCCCUGGAGAACCCCCUGGUGUCCAUGGAAUGCUUCAUCUUCCUGUGA